This 466-nucleotide ribosomal RNA is filed under the name uncultured bacterium. RNAcentral describes it as "partial 16S ribosomal RNA". It matches the Rfam family "Bacterial small subunit ribosomal RNA", at positions 28 to 506 of the family's 1533-position model. The record is from RNAcentral.
GACGAACGCUGGCGGCGUGCUUAACACAUGCAAGUCGAACGGAAAGGCCCUGCUUUUGUGGGGUGCUCGAGUGGCGAACGGGUGAGUAACACGUGAGUACCUGCCCUUGACUUUGGGAUAACUUCAGGAAACUGGGGCUAAUACCGGAGAGGAGCUCCUGCUGCAUGGUGGGGGUUGGAAAGUUUCGGCGGUUGGGGAUGGACUCGCGGCUUAUCAGCUUGUUGGGGGGGUAGUGGCUUACCAAGGCUUUGACGGGUAGCCGGCCUGGGAGGGUGACCGGCCACAUUGGGACUGGGAUACGGCCCAGACGCCUACGGGAGGCAGCAGUGGGGAAUAUUGCACAAUGGGCGGAGGCCGGAUGCAGCAACGCCGCGUGCGGGAUGACGGCCUUCGGGUUGUAAACCGCUUUCGCCUGUGACGAAGCGUGAGUGACGGUAAUGGGUAAAGAAGCACCGGCUAACUACGU